Molecule: ribosomal RNA, 249 nt
Filed under: uncultured bacterium
Lineage: Bacteria
Description: partial 16S ribosomal RNA
Rfam family: Bacterial small subunit ribosomal RNA
Source: RNAcentral
AUACGUAGGGGGCAAGCGUUAUCCGGAAUUACUGGGUGUAAAGGGAGAGUAGGCGGCAUGAUAAGUUAGAUGUGAAAGCCUUGGGCUUAACCCGAGGAUUGCAUUUAAAACUAUCAAGCUAGAGUACAGGAGAGGUAAGUGGAAUUCCUAGUGUAGCGGUGAAAUGCGUAGAUAUUAGGAAGAACACCAGUGGCGAAGGCGACUUACUGGACUGAAACUGACGCUGAGGCUCGAAAGCGGUGGGGAUAC